This is a non-coding RNA of Salvelinus sp. IW2-2015, 506 nucleotides long. The record is from RefSeq and is a predicted model, not a curated record. NCBI's taxonomy places the organism in Eukaryota, Metazoa, Chordata, Actinopteri, Salmoniformes, Salmonidae.
UUGUUUUGAACUCGGCAUCAGUAUAUCGAUAAUUAUUGAGUAGACGCAGGUCUAGUAUCCGCGUAUCCAUCUGAAAUCCAUAAAGCAGAAAUGCUAAACGGACCUUAGAUCWGGRAUUCUACUCCGAUUCACACAUCGAAACCGAAACAAGGUAAACGCGUUUGGUUUUCAUAUUGUCAAUGGCAGUCGACAUAUACUACAUCUCGCUCUGAMUUGAAAUUAGUGUUGUUUAAACUGAAACGGAUGAUGACCUCUCAGAGGAGAACAGGACAGUCGUGGUCUCUGGUGUACCAGACACACUGUCCAGCAGUCGCAUGGCAGACAAGCUGGUUAUUCACUUCCAGAGCUCCAGAAGCCACGGAGGAGAUGUAGAAAACGUCAAGUACCCGACCAGCUUCAAGGGGGUGGCUUUUGUUACAUUUGAAAACACCAGAGAUGCUGAGAUGGUAAUCAGAAAGAAACAGAUAUGUGUGACAAGGAGUUCCCUCAAGACUACCCUAUCACUG